UUUUUUCCUUUUUUUUUUUUUUCCCCCCAUUUAGUGAGACAUUUCAUGACAGGGGAACAAUCAAGAGAAUAUAUCUUCUUAUAUAUACAUUUAUAUCUUUUAUGCAUAGGUAUAUAUAAAUCUAUACAUAGCAGCAUUUUAUAAAAAGAUAUAUAUUAUUUUAAAAAUUUCACAGAGAAACAGCAUUGUGCAGCUUGCACAUAUGCAAGAAUAUUUGCAAAACCCUGUGAUUAAUGGAGGGUCAUCAUUUAAAUUGGAAAGUAGAGGAACAAAUUCUGUGUUGUUGGAGCCUGAGGAGAGUAUGAAGGCAGUAAAACAAGCAUCUUGCUUUGAGUUCUUUUCAGGAAUAUGUGCUGUUAAUUGUAAUUUACCAAAUUGUAAGUUUGCAAUUCACACUGCAAAAAUUUAAUAGAGAGGCUAUUUUCUAUACUCUCUGGCCAUAGUCCCGAUCAUAAAAAAGACUGGUCUUCAUAUAAUCUUUCUUCUCUCACAAGGUUUCCUGGGCAUUUCAUUACACACCAAGAGACAUGACAGAAGUGUCCCUGUAAAUGCAAGACAUAAUGGAACAAUUACCAUGGGAGAAAGGGCAGAUGACAUUGAACAACAACCACAAUUGGAUUUCUCUCUCAGGACUGGAAACUGAGCUAAAAGUUCUGUGUCACAAGCUGGAUGGUACAAGCUAUGAAGAAGAACAAAGGAAUCACAGAGCCAGCAACGCGUUACCUUCUACUAUUAGUAAGCAGUUUGAUGCAACAGCACUUUAGAAUGAGCUGAAGCUGGUCCUUUGGUACGUAGCGCUGCAGCAGCAGCACCUCAUGACAUAGCAUUUUUGCCUUUACUACUACUACUUAAAUACUGGAACUGUUGGCAUGGAUAUGCUGA
This is a non-coding RNA of Coturnix japonica (Japanese quail), 882 nucleotides long. The record is from RefSeq and is a predicted model, not a curated record. Lineage: Eukaryota; Metazoa; Chordata; Aves; Galliformes; Phasianidae.